CAGUUUCAGUUUCGAUUCCUGCUGGGACGCUUGGAGUUGAGCUUGGUUAUUGUGAGUUGAGCUGGGCGUUUACAUUUUAGGACGCUGUCAUGGUGGAAACAUCUAGAAAGCAAUAAUGUUUUCAUGGGGAGAAAUUAAUUUAACGAGGCCGAAUGAUUUGGCAGAAAACCGAGACUCAGAGAAAGACUUUCAGUUCGUACCAUCGACCAAACCGAUAAUAACGAGUUUCUCUGCCACUAAUUCAACGGUAACGUUUACCAAAAGUGAUGGAUCAUCAUACUUUCUUCGGCGGCAAAGGGACCAAGAUGGAAAUGUGACAUUCGGUGAAACCACGAGUGUCAAGUGCAAACACGUUGUAGCUUCAAGUUCAGGUGACUCUAGUCUUCUCCUGCUGUCCCGGGAUGGCUCUGUCCUCUAUGUGGAACUCAGUGCAUCUGCCAUUCCAAGAUCGCUAAAAAACGUCAUUAAAAAAAGGAUCAUUCAGGUCGCAUGUGGAGACCAACAUUCCAUAAUUUUAACUGAAGAUGGACAAGCAUUGUCUUGGGGCAGCAACACUCGGGGGCAACUGGGUCUCACCCUCCAAGAGACCUCUGUCGUCCCGUCCCCUACACCAGUGGCAGCCCUGUCAGGGGUACCCCUAGUCCAGGUCACCGCUGGGGGAGCCCACACUCUGGCCUUGUCUGUCUCUGGAACCGUAUUCGGCUGGGGGCAGAAUGACGCCGGGCAACUGGGUCUUGGAGACAUGACAGACAGAUCUACUCCAGUGACAGUUGAGCGUCUCAACCUUAAGAAGACUGUUACCAUUUCUUGUGGUGAAAGACACACUGCUGUUCUGACAAAGGGAGGCGUGGUGUUGACCUUCGGCAGCGGUGGCUGUGGGCAGCUGGGACACAACUCUCUGCUGAAUGAGCUGACCCCUCGUGUGGUGGCUGAACUCUGGGGCGCAGCGGUCACCCAGGUCUCCUGUGGCAGCAACCACACCAUGGCAUUAGUAGGCCCAACAAAGAAGAUCUAUUCAUUUGGUCGUGGAGAAGAAGGCCAGCUUGGAAACAGGCUCACCACAGACUGUUCGGUGCCUCUGCCUGUUCUGCUGCCUCAUGAAGAUGACUGGAGUAUAAAGCAAAUAUUUGCUGGAGGAAACCAAUCUUUGGCCCUUUGUUCUCUCAGUCAGGAACCUGUGAAGGAUCUUCCGGGGAUUGUUACAGCUCUGGAUAUGGACACCAUUGAUUUUUGGCUUUCAAAGUGUCAAAAACCAAAAUUAUGGCAGCAAAUCCGAAAAAAGAUCAAGGAUUUAUUCUCCUCCACGUCUUCCUUGAACGCCAGCUUUCUUGACAGAAGCGAUGACAAGCACUACCGGACCUCAGCCACGUGCUCUGGCUUGGACUUGGUUCUUCUCAGCACAGCUUUGGCCAAGCUAGCGACAAAAGCUAAAGUGCUACAGGAGGUGGAGACCGUCAUCAGAGACUGUCUCCUGCCCUCGUUGACUGGGCAGCCGGUCGGGUUUGAAGGCCUGAGGGUUUACUACCUGCUGGUGGAGCUGCUGCACGUACCGCAGCUCCAACAGCUCUCUAUGGGGGUGGCUGAUGCCUUGCUCUCUCUGCACCCAGACAGAGUGGCAGUCCUUGUUGGACUGUGGUCCAGGACACCUGCCUUCUACCGAUCCGCAGUGGAGACCUUCUGCAACGUGUCCAGGAAGCACCUCUCCUCCUUAGAUGUGGAAAACAGAGAGAGAACCAACCUCUUUAUGAAGACAGCAGGGGUUUUGCAAAGGCUUCAUUCUGCCAGCAGUAAAGGUUCACGGUGCCUCGCAGAUAGUGUUUUCCAUGUGACGACAGUCAUAAAUACUAUCGAGACGUUUGUAGAACUGUGUUCCUUGAAAGCAGAGAGGGAGCACCGAUUAAUCUACCAUGUGGAGGUGGACAACGAUGGACUAAGGAUAAUAAACAACACCAAUUAUUAUUUUAGAAUCUUGUUGUCUCUGGUGAAGUACCCUUGCAUUCUACCCGUAGAAUGCAAGCUGAAGCUGUGGAUGUAUCAUCUGAUCAAUGCCACGAAUUUGCAGCCAGGACGCAUUCAAUUCAAUGUGCACCGAGGCACAGUGCUGAAGGACACUUUAAUAUGUCUGCGGACUUCUUUCCAUGACCCAAGAUUAAAACUUAAGGUGAAGUUUCUGGAGGAAGAUGGCCUUGACGAUGGAGGUGUGUCAUUGGAAUUCUUUAACACCCUUGCAAAAGAACUUAAGGAGGCAGAACCACAAAUACUUGAAGUGAAUAAGGAAGGAGUGGCCUGGUUCAGCAAGAAGGUCGCCCAGCUGACUGAUGAGUUCUUCCUACUGGGCACGCUCUGUGGCAUGGCUCUGUAUAACCAGUGCCUGAUGAACAUCCCCUUCCCCUUGGCUCUCUUCAAGAAGCUCCUGGGCUUGAAGCCAACCCUGGACGACCUCAUGGAGCUGUCGCCAACUGUUGCACAGAGUUUCAUCAAGCUGCUGGACGAGGAUGAAGAGGAGGCUGUCAGAGACCUAGACUUAGAUUUCGGAGGGGAUGCAGAAGAUUUGGAUCUUCUACCUAAUGGACAGUCCAUUCCAUUGACCAAAGUCAACAGACACGUGUCUCUAACCCAGGCAGAAAUAUGUGGACCUCCAAGUGGACAUGGUGUUCAGCCGCUCGGUGGAGCAUCAGUUCAAGGAGUUCGAGAGAGGCUUCUUGAGAGGCUGCCCUUCACCUGAGUGGAGAAUGUUCCUCCCUGAUCAACUCAUGACGCUCCUCAAGGGAGAGGAGGUCUUCAACUGGGACGAUCUGAGACAGAAUGCUGCAUAUGAGUACUGCACACCCAAUGAUGAAAUCAUCAAAAACUUUUGGCGUGUCUUCACCGAGUUCUCCGUGGAGCAGAAGAAGGACUUCCUCAAAUUCCUGACUGGAACGGACCGAAUUCCCAAAGUUCGCAGUUCAUCGAUCAUGAUAAUUAUCAAGUUGACGCGUUACCCACAGCCUGAGCUGUACUUUCCAAUGGCUGAGACCUGCUUCUGGAUCUUGAAUCUCCCCAACUACAGCAACAUCCAAACGCUUCGUCAAAAACUCCUUCAUGCGGUUGAGUUUUGCGAUGGUUUUGGACGAAAGUGAAACAGCUUCAGAAGAUUGCUUGCAAUAAUCUUGUUAUUUUUUUUUUAGAUGAAACAGAGUCUAAAUGGAAAGUUGAAUUAUAUUUCUGUUGGCUUGUAAUUAUUUUUGAUGAAGGGAAUGUUGCCAGGCAAAUUAUAUAUUUUAUAAAAUGUUCUGUCAAUUUGCUUGGUGAAAUGGUGUUGAUAUAUAAAUGUAAAUAAACUGUGCUGGAUGAACCUCUUAAUACGUUAACUGAGCACAACGUUAACACUCCCAACACAGCUUUACAUCAUGUUCCGGGUGUAAUUGGUACCUUUAGCUUAUAACUUGAAUGCUAUGUUGCCAAGGCCCAAAGCAUUGCUGGAAGGUGAGAGCUCAAAUCCAAUAGAGAUGCUCCACCUACACAAUAUACACACAGACUAACGAUAUAGCUAUAUUUUGAAUAUUGGUUGAUAAAUUAAGUUCUGUAAUUUUUGACUCCCUAAUAUUGGUAUCUGCUUCGGCCCCUAUGUUUAAAGUAAUUAACUCUUUGGAAUAAAUGUUUUUAAUUUAAAUGUA
RNA transcript from Gadus morhua (Atlantic cod), 3656 nucleotides. It is a transcript of the gene named probable E3 ubiquitin-protein ligase HERC3, with no coding region annotated. The transcript has 24 exons. The record is from RefSeq and is a predicted model, not a curated record. NCBI's taxonomy places the organism in Eukaryota, Metazoa, Chordata, Actinopteri, Gadiformes, Gadidae.